Molecule: long non-coding RNA, 389 nt
Filed under: Prunus persica (peach)
Lineage: Eukaryota; Viridiplantae; Streptophyta; Magnoliopsida; Rosales; Rosaceae
Description: long non-coding RNA (PPER_LNC008135)
Source: RNAcentral
AAAACUUUUCUUCAUUAAUCUUUUUAAAUAACGUCAUAAUUUAAUUUUUUGAACAAUUUGACCUAAAAAAAAUUGAAAUUUCAUAAAUUUAAUUUUAUUCCAAAAGUAUGAGAAUGAAGAAGAUGAUGUGCUUGAAAUGAUAUCAAAAGUAUGAGAAUGGAAGAGACUGAUGAAAUUGACAAAGGAAAAAUAAAUUGAGAAAUAGGAAAAAAUAUUUUUGGUAGAUUAAUUGAGAAAUGGGUGAGUAUUCAUAGAGUUUGGAGUGAGAUUUGAGAUUGGAUCUUAUUUGGAUUAAUUUAAAAGAUUAUUUUGACCGUUAAAUUUAAAUUUCAGCCGUUGAAUUUUUUAUUUUUACCAUUAAAAUAGCAGAGAUUUAAUCCCCAUUGUUG